Molecule: ribosomal RNA, 492 nt
Filed under: uncultured bacterium
Lineage: Bacteria
Description: partial 16S ribosomal RNA
Rfam family: Bacterial small subunit ribosomal RNA
Source: RNAcentral
AGUGAACGCUGGCGGUAGGCCUAACACAUGCAAGUCGAACGGCAGCACAGUAAGAGCUUGCUCUUACGGGUGGCGAGUGGCGGACGGGUGAGGAAUACAUCGGAAUCUACUUUUUCGUGGGGGAUAACGUAGGGAAACUUACGCUAAUACCGCAUACGACCUACGGGUGAAAGCAGGGGAUCUUCGGACCUUGCGCGAUUGAAUGAGCCGAUGUCGGAUUAGCUAGUUGGCGGGGUAAAGGCCCACCAAGGCGACGAUCCGUAGCUGGUCUGAGAGGAUGAUCAGCCACACUGGGACUGAGGAACGGUCCAGACCCCGCCUGGGGGCAGCAGUAGGGACUAUUGCAGAAUGCGCGCAAGCUUGAUCCAGCCAUACCGGGGGAAUGAAGAAGGCCUUAGGCUUCUACAACGCUUUUGUUGGGAAAAAAAAAAAACACGUUAAUACCUCGCUGUUAUGACGGUACCCAAAGAAUAAGCACCGGCUAACUUCGUG